This 460-nucleotide ribosomal RNA is filed under the name uncultured bacterium. RNAcentral describes it as "partial 16S ribosomal RNA". It matches the Rfam family "Bacterial small subunit ribosomal RNA", at positions 338 to 795 of the family's 1533-position model. The record is from RNAcentral.
CCUACGGGUGGCAGCAGUGAGGAAUAUUGGUCAAUGGACGGAAGUCUGAACCAGCCAUGCCGCAUGCAGGAAGACGGCUCUAUGAGUUGUAAAAUGCUUUUGUACAAGGGUAAACCUGAAUACGUGUAUUCAGCUGAAAGUACUGUACGAAUAAGGAUCGGCUAACUCCGUGCCAGCAGCCGCGGUAAUACGGAGGAUCCAAGCGUUAUCCGGAUUUAUUGGGUUUAAAGGGUGCGUAGGCGGAUGAAUACGUUAGAGGUGAAAUGUCCUGGCUUAACUCGGGAACUGCCUCUAAUACUGUUGAUCUAGAGAGUAGAUGCGGUAGGCGGAAUGUAUGGUGUAGCGGGGAAAUGCUUAGAGAUCAUACAGAACACCGAUUGCGAAGGCAGCUUACCAAUCUAUAUCUGACGUUGAGGCACGAAAGCGUGGGGAGCAAACAGGAUUAGAUACCCCAGUAGUC